This is a non-coding RNA of Mycena filopes, 84 nucleotides long. The record is from the annotation of a GenBank genome assembly. Lineage: Eukaryota; Fungi; Basidiomycota; Agaricomycetes; Agaricales; Mycenaceae.
GGCGGCAUAGCUCAGUUGGGAGAGCAGCAGACUGAAGUCGUUCGGUAAAUCUGAAGGUCCGGUGUUCAAGCCACCGUGCUGCCA